RNAcentral lists this ribosomal RNA (1483 nucleotides) under Nesterenkonia halotolerans. RNAcentral describes it as "16S ribosomal RNA". It matches the Rfam family "Bacterial small subunit ribosomal RNA". The record is from RNAcentral. Lineage: Bacteria; Bacillati; Actinomycetota; Actinomycetes; Micrococcales; Micrococcaceae.
UUUAUCCUGGCUCAGAAUGAACGCUGGCGGCGUGCUUAACACAUGCAAGUCGAACGAUGAAGACCGUGCUUGCACGGUUGGAUUAGUGGCGAACGGGUGAGUAUCACGUGAGUAACCUUCCCUUAACUCUGGGAUAAGCCCGGGAAACUGGGUCUAAUACCGGAUACGACCAGUCCUCGCAUGGGGUGCUGGUGGAAAGAUUUAUCGGUUUUGGAUGGACUCGCGGCCUAUCAGCUUGUUGGUGAGGUAAAGGCUCACCAAGGCGAUGACGGGUAGCCGGCCUGAGAGGGUGACCGGCCACACUGGGACUGAGACACGGCCCAGACUCCUACGGGAGGCAGCAGUGGGGAAUAUUGCACAAUGGGCGAAAGCCUGAUGCAGCGACGCCGCGUGCGGGAUGACGGCCUUCGGGUUGUAAACCGCUUUCAGCAGGGAAGAAGCGCAAGUGACGGUACCUGCAGAAGAAGCGCCGGCUAACUACGUGCCAGCAGCCGCGGUAAUACGUAGGGCGCGAGCGUUAUCCGGAAUUAUUGGGCGUAAAGAGCUCGUAGGCGGUUUGUCACGUCUGCUGUGAAAGCCCGGGGCUCAACCCCGGGUGUGCAGUGGGUACGGGCAGACUAGAGUGCAGUAGGGGAGACUGGAAUUCCUGGUGUAGCGGUGAAAUGCGCAGAUAUCAGGAGGAACACCGAUGGCGAAGGCAGGUCUCUGGGCUGUUACUGACGCUGAGGAGCGAAAGCAUGGGGAGCGAACAGGAUUAGAUACCCUGGUAGUCCAUGCCGUAAACGUUGGGCACUAGGUGUGGGGAACAUUCCACGUUUUCCGCGCCGUAGCUAACGCAUUAAGUGCCCCGCCUGGGGAGUACGGCCGCAAGGCUAAAACUCAAAGGAAUUGACGGGGGCCCGCACAAGCGGCGGAGCAUGCGGAUUAAUUCGAUGCAACGCGAAGAACCUUACCAAGGCUUGACAUGGACCGGACCGCUGCAGAGAUGCAGUUUCCCUUCGGGGUCGGUUCACAGGUGGUGCAUGGUUGUCGUCAGCUCGUGUCGUGAGAUGUUGGGUUAAGUCCCGCAACGAGCGCAACCCCUAUCCUAUGUUGCCAGCACGUUAUGGUGGGGACUCAUGGGAGACUGCCGGGGUCAACUCGGAGGAAGGUGGGGACGACGUCAAAUCAUCAUGCCCCUUAUGUCUUGGGCUUCACGCAUGCUACAAUGGCCGGUACAAUGGGUUGCGAUACUGUGAGGUGGAGCUAAUCCCUAAAAGCCGGUCUCAGUUCGGAUCGAAGUCUGCAACUCGACUUCGUGAAGUUGGAGUCGCUAGUAAUCGCAGAUCAGCAACGCUGCGGUGAAUACGUUCCCGGGCCUUGUACACACCGCCCGUCAAGUCACGAAAGUGGGUAACACCCGAAGCCGGUGGCCUAACCCUUGUGGGGGGAGCCGUCGAAGGUGGGACUCGCGAUUGGGACUAGGUCGUAACGGAGUAUCCGU